This 226-nucleotide ribosomal RNA is filed under the name uncultured bacterium. RNAcentral's name for it is "partial 16S ribosomal RNA". It matches the Rfam family "Bacterial small subunit ribosomal RNA", at positions 538 to 763 of the family's 1533-position model. The record is from RNAcentral.
GCGUUGUUCGGAAUCAUUGGGCGUAAAGCGGGUGUAGGUGGCUCUAUAAGUCAGAAGUGAAAGCCCUGGGCUCAACCCAGGAAGUGCUUUUGAUACUGCAGAGCUUGAAUGUGGGAGAGGGUAGUGGAAUUCCAGGUGUAGUGGUGAAAUACGUAGAUAUCUGGAGGAACACCGGUGGCGAAGGCGGCUACCUGGCCCAACAUUGACACUGAGACCCGAAAGCGUG